Long non-coding RNA from Oncorhynchus kisutch (coho salmon), 1124 nucleotides. RefSeq lists it as uncharacterized. The transcript has 3 exons. Lineage: Eukaryota; Metazoa; Chordata; Actinopteri; Salmoniformes; Salmonidae. The record is from RefSeq and is a predicted model, not a curated record.
GCUCGUUCGACUUUGCAGUCAGCUAGUCACCGUUUACCCACAAUGCAGUAUGGACUUAAUGCUCUCGAUCAAGGCCCGUGGUUUCGUAGAAGACAUGAAGGCUACGCUGUUACGCCUUCCUCUCCUCUGAAGACCCAGUGAGGGUGGAGCUCAGUCAGAGAGCUGUUGAGGGACUGGUUAGGAAGAACACUUCUACAGCCAGAGAGGGGCAGUCAAGAAUUGGAACGGCAAGGCCACAGAACAUGUCAUAAGCAGAGCUGUGGGAGACCACCUCAAGCCCCUGGUAGAGCCGGGGGUGGUGUUUACCACUCCACCACACCUUCAGCAGGCUGGAAAAUUAACCCUGAUAUUUUAAAAGCAGGGCAACAACGUCAAUAUAAUUGUAAUCAAAAAUUGUCAGUUGGUUGCAUAAAUAAUUAUGAUUACUAAAUGUUACAUGAAAUGUAAAUAUGAAAUAUUCGGUUACAUAGUCUUAUUUUCAACGUCUUUUCAAUGACAUUUUGCUAGGUGUGAUAUCCCCAAUGUCAAAACACAGUUUUAACGUCUCCAAAUCAAUAACCAAUAUCAGAAACAGUUUGGGAUAAAUUGAAAACCUAAACAUAAAAUGUGCUAUAUAGACAAACAUCUGCCACAAUAAUCACAUUACUUGUAUUUUUUUAAACAAGCUCCUUAUAAACUGCACAAGCACCAAAAACGCUGUUGUUUUGACAAGAAGCAAUAAAUCACUGAUAUCGAUUAGAGGGGAAAUUAGGUUGAAUGUGCUGUUGAAACUAACACAACUAAAAAAACACAUGGAAAUGGGAGAUAUCUUUUACAUCCCUGGUUAGAGGACAACUUGCAGAAAACAGCUUGAUACAUUUUGAAGUGUUGCAUUUAGGUUCAAGUGGAUCACGAACGUGGUAAGAGGAAAAAAAAAAAUUGUUAAUCACUUUUUGUUAAAUAAUACUCUUCCAUUUCAGAGCCUGGAUUUUCCCCCUGAGGCUAAUAUCCAUAUCAUGUUGAAAUCAAUAGAACAGGGGACAAAUGUUUAGGGUUCUACAUUGUGACGUCAUUAAAAUACUCCUACUACAAUGUUAAAACAUUCUACAUUGUGACAUUUUUUCAUUGAUAUCAUGAAAUAACUC